RNAcentral lists this ribosomal RNA (276 nucleotides) under uncultured bacterium. RNAcentral's name for it is "partial 16S ribosomal RNA". It matches the Rfam family "Bacterial small subunit ribosomal RNA", at positions 16 to 268 of the family's 1533-position model. The record is from RNAcentral.
AUCCUGGCUCAGGAUGAACGCUGGCGGCGUGCUUAACACAUGCAAGUCGAACGAAGUUUUUUGGGAGCUUGCUCUUAAAAAACUUAGUGGCGGACGGGUGAGUAACGCGUGGGUAACCUGCCUUAUACUGUGGAAUAAUCACUGGAAACGGUGACUAAUACCGCAUGUCGUCUUUUGUUAGGGCGAUCCUCCGAAAGAAAAAAGGAAAGUUAUUCGGUUAGUUAAAGAAUGGACCCGGCCGUCUGAUUAAGUCUAGUUUGGUUGGAGAUAACAACG